UCCAGGGUAGCCUAGUGGACAUGGCAUCUGCCCGGUAAGCGGAACACAGUUUGUUCGAUUCCCAUCCCUGGAC
This 73-nucleotide transfer RNA is filed under the name Cordylochernes scorpioides. RNAcentral's name for it is "tRNA-Thr". It matches the Rfam family "tRNA". From Rfam's summary of the family: Transfer RNA (tRNA) molecules are approximately 80 nucleotides in length. Their secondary structure includes four short double-helical elements and three loops (D, anti-codon, and T loops). Lineage: Eukaryota; Metazoa; Arthropoda; Arachnida; Pseudoscorpiones; Chernetidae. The record is from RNAcentral.